RNAcentral lists this ribosomal RNA (690 nucleotides) under uncultured bacterium. RNAcentral describes it as "bacterial SSU rRNA". It matches the Rfam family "Bacterial small subunit ribosomal RNA", at positions 66 to 751 of the family's 1533-position model. The record is from RNAcentral.
GCGGCAGCACGGACUUCGGUCUGGUGGCGAGUGGCGAACGGGUGAGUAAUGUAUCGGAACGUGCCCAGUAGCGGGGGAUAACUACGCGAAAGCGUAGCUAAUACCGCAUACGCCCUACGGGGGAAAGCAGGGGAUCGUAAGACCUUGCACUAUUGGAGCGGCCGAUAUCGGAUUAGCUAGUUGGUGGGGUAACGGCUCACCAAGGCGACGAUCCGUAGCUGGUUUGAGAGGACGACCAGCCACACUGGGACUGAGACACGGCCCAGACUCCUACGGGAGGCAGCAGUGGGGAAUUUUGGACAAUGGGGGAAACCCUGAUCCAGCCAUCCCGCGUGUGCGAUGAAGGCCUUCGGGUUGUAAAGCACUUUUGGCAGGAAAGAAACGUCAUGGGUUAAUACCCCGUGAAACUGACGGUACCUGCAGAAUAAGCACCGGCUAACUACGUGCCAGCAGCCGCGGUAAUACGUAGGGUGCAAGCGUUAAUCGGAAUUACUGGGCGUAAAGCGUGCGCAGGCGGUUCGGAAAGAAAGAUGUGAAAUCCCAGAGCUUAACUUUGGAACUGCAUUUUUAACUACCGGGCUAGAGUGUGUCAGAGGGAGGUGGAAUUCCGCGUGUAGCAGUGAAAUGCGUAGAUAUGCGGAGGAACACCGAUGGCGAAGGCAGCCUCCUGGGAUAACACUGACGCUCAUG